GAUGAACGCUGGCGGCGUGCUUAACACAUGCAAGUCGAGCGAAGCAAUUUAAGUGAAGUUUUCGGAUGGAUCUUAAAUUGACUGAGCGGCGGACGGGUGAGUAACGCGUGGAUAACCUGCCUCACACAGGGGGAUAACAGUUAGAAAUGACUGCUAAUACCGCAUAAGCGCACAGUACCGCAUGGUAUAGUGUGAAAAACUCCGGUGGUGUGAGAUGGAUCCGCGUCUGAUUAGGUAGUUGGUGAGGUAACGGCCCACCAAGCCGACGAUCAGUAGCCGACCUGAGAGGGUGACCGGCACAUUGGGACUGAGACAGG
This 317-nucleotide ribosomal RNA is filed under the name uncultured bacterium. RNAcentral's name for it is "bacterial SSU rRNA". It matches the Rfam family "Bacterial small subunit ribosomal RNA", at positions 28 to 328 of the family's 1533-position model. The record is from RNAcentral.